This 232-nucleotide ribosomal RNA is filed under the name uncultured bacterium. RNAcentral describes it as "partial 16S ribosomal RNA". It matches the Rfam family "Bacterial small subunit ribosomal RNA", at positions 118 to 350 of the family's 1533-position model. The record is from RNAcentral.
UGGGCAACCUGCCCCUCUCUCUGGGAUAACCCCGGGAAACCGGAGCUAAUACCGGAUACUCCGGCUGGAUCGCAUGGUCCGGCCGGGAAAGGUCCGCCGGAGUGGGAUGGGCCCGCGGCCUAUCAGCUUGUUGGUGGGGUCAUGGCUCACCAAGGCGACGACGGGUAGCUGGUCUGAGAGGACGACCAGCCACACUGGAACUGAGAUACGGUCCAGACUCCUACGGGAGGCA